CUUCCACUCUAUUCCAUUGAUGCAAAUUUUUCUCUUUUUUUCAUGAUUGACCACUCGCAAUGGAGUUGGAAGCAGGAGGGAUGUGGGUCAGGCAUCUGCAUGUGCUGCUGAAUUCGAUUGAUGGUUCUUGAUUGCUGAGUAAUUCCUGUUAGUUGUUAUAUGUGCUGCUGAAUUCUCUAGUAGGGACUUGAUUCAUGUUGGUUGCUGACUUCAUUGUUGAUUGUUGAUUGUCGAGAGAAAAUCCAAGUGAGUGGUUGCAUGCUGGCGCUGGCGAUGCAUCAUCUCCCGCCCAUGCAGCCUCCCCACUAUGCCUCCACACCCAGAUUUGAGUCCUCUCGGUCUCCAUCCCCCGUCUAUGGUCGGCAACAACAAUCACAAUGAUAGCUAAGUGGUGCAACCAGGGGAUGGCAUACAUACGUUGUUGCCGUCGGCUGGCCUCUGCUCGCAUUCAGGAAUGAUGCGUGUUUGCUUUACUGUAGGUGCUUUGGCGCUCUGUAUUUGCUUGUUGUAGAUGCUCUGCUUCCUCUGUUUGCUGCUUUGUCGUGUAGCAAUCAGGUGGUUUGUAGCUGCUGAUGUAAUCCAAGAUGAAGCAGGCACACAUGUGGACGCUGCUUCUCGCUUGUCUAGCUGCAACUGAUCGCUGGACAAUCACUUAGGGCAGUAUCAUUGCCAUAUAAUUAUUGCAGAGUUGUGUAAGUUUGAUUCAUGAAUGAUAGGACCAAGGAAGGAUAAAUGAAAUGCUUUGCAGUUCAAAAGAGAGUUAACAAUGAUUUAACGACGUUGGAUGGCUGAAUGUGCUCCUAAAGAAGAGGUCGGCUGCUAACAGGUUCCAGGUGGCUGGGAUUGAGGAAAUUAUAUCAGGAAACGAUUUUACAAGGAUGCAUCCCUUUUUACAUGGGGAAGCAGAUAACAAUAACGAACCAAGCAAGAUGACUAUGGUGCGUGACCUCAAGCUAUGAUAGGACAGAAACUGGAUCUUCUGUGCCCGUUGAAGAUGAGAUGGAUGAAGUUACUGAUGAAGCAAUUGGUGCAAAGCUCAAUAUUUUAUAUACACAGAAAAGGGCA
This is a long non-coding RNA of Triticum dicoccoides, 1065 nucleotides long. RefSeq lists it as uncharacterized. The transcript is spliced from 3 exons. NCBI's taxonomy places the organism in Eukaryota, Viridiplantae, Streptophyta, Magnoliopsida, Poales, Poaceae. The record is from RefSeq and is a predicted model, not a curated record.